GGCAGCCGCGGUAAUUCCAGCUCCGAUAGCGUAUAUUAAAGUUGUUGCAGUUAAAAAGCUCGGAGUUGAAUUUCGGGGUCUGUCCGUCGGUCGGGCUUUACGGUCCGUACUGGUGUGAUGGGUUCCUACCUUCUGAAUAACCGGCAUGCCAUUCAGUUGGUGCGCCGGGGAAGCAGAGCUAUUACCUUGAAAAAAUUAGAGUGCUUAAAGCAGGCUAGUGCUUGAAUAGAUUAGCAUGGAAUAAUAAAAUAGGACGGCAUGGUUCUAUUUUGUUGGUUUCUAGGAUCACCGUAAUGAUUAAUAGGGAUAGUUGGGGGCAUUAGUAUUCAAUUGUCAGAGGUGAAAUUCUUGGAUUUAUUGAAGACGAACUUCUGCGAAAGCAUUUGCCAAGGAUGUUUUCAUUAAUCAAGAACGAAAGUUAGGGGAUCGAAGACGAUCAGAUACCGUCGUAGUCUUAACCAUAAACUAUGCCGACUAGGGAUCGGACGAUGUUAAUUUAAUGACUCG
RNAcentral lists this ribosomal RNA (507 nucleotides) under uncultured Acaulospora. RNAcentral's name for it is "SSU rRNA". It matches the Rfam family "Eukaryotic small subunit ribosomal RNA", at positions 569 to 1078 of the family's 1831-position model. Lineage: Eukaryota; Fungi; Glomeromycota; Glomeromycetes; Diversisporales; Acaulosporaceae. The record is from RNAcentral.